GACGAACGCUGGCGGCGUGCUUAACACAUGCAAGUCGAACGCUGUAGCUCAGCUUUUGUUGGGUGGAUGAGUGGCGAACGGGUGAGUAACACGUGAGUAACCUGCCCCCUUCUUUGGGAUAACGCCCGGAAACGGGUGCUAAUACUGGAUAUUCACUGGUCUUCGCAUGGGGGUUGGUGGAAAGGGUUUUUCUGGUGGGGGAUGGGCUCGCGGCCUAUCAGCUUGUUGGUGGGGUGAUGGCCUACCAAGGCUUUGACGGGUAGCCGGCCUGAGAGGGUGACCGGUCACAUUGGGACUGAGAUACGGCCCAGACUCCUACGGGAGGCAGCAGUGGGGAAGAUUGCACAAUGGGCGCAAGCCUGAUGCAGCGACGCCGCGUGAGGGAUGGAGGCCUUCGGGUUGUGAACCUCUUUCGCUCAUGGUCAAGCCGCAACAAUGGUUGUGGUGAGGGUAGUGGGUAAAGAAGCGCCGGCUAACUACGUG
RNAcentral lists this ribosomal RNA (483 nucleotides) under uncultured bacterium. RNAcentral describes it as "partial 16S ribosomal RNA". It matches the Rfam family "Bacterial small subunit ribosomal RNA", at positions 28 to 507 of the family's 1533-position model. The record is from RNAcentral.